This 16-nucleotide small RNA is filed under the name Arabidopsis thaliana (thale cress). Its description in RNAcentral is "ATSL192640". Lineage: Eukaryota; Viridiplantae; Streptophyta; Magnoliopsida; Brassicales; Brassicaceae. The record is from RNAcentral.
GGCUACAGAAAUAUUA